This 118-nucleotide small nuclear RNA is filed under the name Chelonoidis abingdonii (Abingdon island giant tortoise). Its description in RNAcentral is "U4 spliceosomal RNA (ENSCABG00000007834.1)". It matches the Rfam family "U4 spliceosomal RNA". From Rfam's summary of the family: U4 small nuclear RNA (U4 snRNA) is a component of the major U2-dependent spliceosome. The record is from Rfam by way of RNAcentral. Lineage: Eukaryota; Metazoa; Chordata; Testudines; Testudinidae.
AGCUUUGCGCAGUGGCAAUAUCAUAACCAAUGAAGUUAAUCUGAGGUGUGAUUAUUGCUAGUUGAAAUCUUUUAUUGGACCAACUUUUAUUGGUAAAAAAGAGACCAGCUUUUGAGCU